AAAUUGAAGAGUUUGAUCAUGGCUCAGAUUGAACGCUGGCGGCAGGCCUAACACAUGCAAGUCGAACGGUAACAGGAAGAAGCUUGCUUCUUUGCUGACGAGUGGCG
RNAcentral lists this ribosomal RNA (107 nucleotides) under Escherichia coli. Its description in RNAcentral is "partial 16S ribosomal RNA". It matches the Rfam family "Bacterial small subunit ribosomal RNA", at positions 1 to 100 of the family's 1533-position model. Lineage: Bacteria; Pseudomonadati; Pseudomonadota; Gammaproteobacteria; Enterobacterales; Enterobacteriaceae. The record is from RNAcentral.